GUGGGGAAUCUUGCGCAAUGGCGAAAGCCUGACGCAGCCAUGCCGCGUGAAUGAUGAAGGUCUUAGGAUUGUAAAAUUCUUUCACCGGGGACGAUAAUGACGGUACCCGGAGAAGAAGCCCCGGCUAACUUCGUGCCCGCCGCCGCGGUAAUACGAAGGGGGCUAGCGUUGCUCGGAAUUACUGGGCGUAAAGGGCGCGUAGGCGGACAGUUUAGUCAGAGGUGAAAGCCCAGGGCUCAACCUUGGAAUUGCCUUUGAUACUGGCUGUCUUGAGUACGGGAGAGGUGAGUGGAACUCCGAGUGUAGAGGUGAAAUUCGUAGAUAUUCGGAAGAACACCAGUGGCGAAGGCGACUCACUGGCCCGUUACUGACGCUGAGGCGCGAAAGCGUGGGGAGCAAACAGGAUUAGAAACCCGGGUAGUCC
RNAcentral lists this ribosomal RNA (424 nucleotides) under uncultured bacterium. RNAcentral describes it as "partial 16S ribosomal RNA". It matches the Rfam family "Bacterial small subunit ribosomal RNA", at positions 354 to 796 of the family's 1533-position model. The record is from RNAcentral.